This 718-nucleotide ribosomal RNA is filed under the name Leptopelis kivuensis (Kisenyi forest treefrog). Its description in RNAcentral is "partial 16S ribosomal RNA". The stretch from base 1 to 641 matches the Rfam family "Bacterial large subunit ribosomal RNA", at positions 1819 to 2925 of the family's 2925-position model. The record is from RNAcentral. Lineage: Eukaryota; Metazoa; Chordata; Amphibia; Anura; Arthroleptidae.
CGCCUCUUGAUUACCAUAAGAGGUCUAGCCUGCCCAGUGACCAAUUUAACGGCCGCGGUACCCUAACCGUGCAAAGGUAGCAUAAUCACUUGUUUCUUAAAUGGGGACUAGUAUCAAUGGCAUCACGAAGACUACACUGUCUCCCCUUUAAAAUCAAUGAAACUGAUCCCCUCGUGAAGAAGCGAGGAUAUAAAUAUAAGACGAGAAGACCCCAUGGAGCUUUAAACGAACUUCAAUUGCUCCCCUCCUUACCAUAUAAGUUGAGCACUAAUGAUAGGUAGUUUUCGGUUGGGGCGACCGCGGAGUAAAACAAAACCUCCACAAUGAAUGUAAUAAAUACUAAUAAAAGAACCACAAUUCUAAUAAUCAAAAAUUUGACAUAAAUUGACCCAAACACUUGAUCAAUGAACCAAGUUACCCUGGGGAUAACAGCGCAAUCCAUUUUAAGAGCCCUUAUCGACAAAUGGGUUUACGACCUCGAUGUUGGAUCAGGGUAUCCCAGUGGUGCAGCCGCUACUAAUGGUUCGUUUGUUCAACGAUUAAAACCCUACGUGAUCUGAGUUCAGACCGGAGUAAUCCAGGUCGGUUUCUAUCUAUUAAACACUCUUUCUAGUACGAAAGGACCGAGAGAAUGUGGCCUCCAACUCAUGCCAUAACUAUACAUUAAUGACUAAAACUCAAUUACACAGAACUUACCAUCCUAUCAUAGAAAAUGAUA